Molecule: long non-coding RNA, 900 nt
Organism: Bombus terrestris (buff-tailed bumblebee)
Lineage: Eukaryota; Metazoa; Arthropoda; Insecta; Hymenoptera; Apidae
Exons: 2
Source: RefSeq, a predicted model, not a curated record
UGUUCGCGAACGCACGUCGCGCGUUGCAUCGUUUAGUCGACAGAGAGGAUCGCGUUUGUCCCGGCUGUCAAAUAUGUUAACGCACGAACGAACAGGUUCGAUAACCAUCGCGUAUCGGAAAUUCGAUUCUUGGUUCGCGAUUUCGUCGUCCAAAUCGUCCUGUCGUAUCGAACGAUGUAACAAACGCUGAGGCGGAAUUUAGCCCGAGUCACGGUGUUACUCGCGGAGGCAUUUUAACGUCACCUUCUCGACCCUCGAGUCAUCAAGUACAGUAGCUAGAAAAGGUACUGGCGCGUACUUGGAUUUUGCGACGAAGCAUUAAGAAGUUCUUUCAUCGGGUAGAAAAUUCUCGUAGUCGUACGAAAGAUAUAAAACGACGCGAAUAUUUGGAUUUGAUCGAUCAGUGCGUAAAUUCUACAACGAUGACGCAAUGGCGGGUCAAUGGAAUAGUAAAAUUAGGAAUCGCCAUCCGAGUUCUUUUCCUCUUGUCGCUGUGACACACAAAAUGGUCAUAGACCACUCGGUGUCUAUGCGAAGCGAUAGGAUGGUGACGCCGCAUUUAACCUGGCGAUUGUCACGACCGGCACCCUUCAAAUCCGAUGGACCGAUGAUGAAGAUAAAGAUGCGACGGCCUUGGCGACGAUGCAUAUCGCCUAAUCGGUCAUCGAUAUCCCCACGGUCCUUCCACCGAAUGUUCUAGAAGAAGGGGUGCGUGGCAACGGUCGCGUACGCCUACAACGUAGUGGAGAUAUCGAGGGGUGACAAAGAAAAAAAGGAACAGAUCCCACCGAAAGUCAAAUUGUAAGAGCUUCGGUCUUGGAAAGUCACGGCUGGAGCUCAGAACGAAAUCGCAGUCGGUGUAAGCUCAGAGUUCAAGAAAUAAGCUCUCUUUUGUAUUUU